This 460-nucleotide ribosomal RNA is filed under the name uncultured bacterium. RNAcentral's name for it is "partial 16S ribosomal RNA". It matches the Rfam family "Bacterial small subunit ribosomal RNA", at positions 338 to 795 of the family's 1533-position model. The record is from RNAcentral.
CCUACGGGUGGCAGCAGUGAGGAAUAUUGGUCAAUGGACGAGAGUCUGAACCAGCCAAGUAGCGUGAAGGAUGACUGCCCUAUGGGUUGUAAACUUCUUUUAUAUGGGAAUAAAAUGUUCCACGUGUGGGAUUUUGUAUGUACCAUAUGAAUAAGGAUCGGCUAACUCCGUGCCAGCAGCCGCGGUAAUACGGAGGAUCCGAGCGUUAUCCGGAUUUAUUGGGUUUAAAGGGAGCGUAGGUGGAUUGUUAAGUCAGUUGUGAAAGUUUGCGGCUCAACCGUAAAAUUGCAGUUGAAACUGGCAGUCUUGAGUACAGUAGAGGUGGGCGGAAUUCGUGGUGUAGCGGUGAAAUGCUUAGAUAUCACGAAGAACUACGAUUGCGAAGGCAGUUCACUGGACUGCAACUGACACUGAGGCUCGAAAGUGUGGGUAUCAAACAGGAUUAGAUACCCUAGUAGUC